This 1450-nucleotide ribosomal RNA is filed under the name uncultured bacterium. RNAcentral describes it as "bacterial SSU rRNA". It matches the Rfam family "Bacterial small subunit ribosomal RNA". The record is from RNAcentral.
UAGCUACAGGCUUAACACAUGCAAGUCGAGGGGCAGCAUGGUCUUAGCUUGCUAAGGCCGAUGGCGACCGGCGCACGGGUGAGUAACACGUAUCCAACCUGCCGUCUACUCUUGGACAGCCUUCUGAAAGGAAGAUUAAUACAAGAUGGCAUCAUGAGUCCGCAUGUUCACAUGAUUAAAGGUAUUCCGGUAGACGAUGGGGAUGCGUUCCAUUAGAUAGUAGGCGGGGUAACGGCCCACCUAGUCUUCGAUGGAUAGGGGUUCUGAGAGGAAGGUCCCCCACAUUGGAACUGAGACACGGUCCAAACUCCUACGGGAGGCAGCAGUGAGGAAUAUUGGUCAAUGGGCGAGAGCCUGAACCAGCCAAGUAGCGUGAAGGAUGACUGCCCUAUGGGUUGUAAACUUCUUUUAUAAAGGAAUAAAGUCGGGUAUGCAUACCCGUUUGCAUGUACUUUAUGAAUAAGGAUCGGCUAACUCCGUGCCAGCAGCCGCGGUAAUACGGAGGAUCCGAGCGUUAUCCGGAUUUAUUGGGUUUAAAGGGAGCGUAGAUGGAUGUUUAAGUCAGUUGUGAAAGUUUGCGGCUCAACCGUAAAAUUGCAGUUGAUACUGGAUAUCUUGAGUGCAGUUGAGGCAGGCGGAAUUCGUGGUGUAGCGGUGAAAUGCUUAGAUAUCACGAAGAACUCCGAUUGCGAAGGCAGCCUGCUAAGCUGCAACUGACAUUGAGGCUCGAAAGUGUGGGUAUCAAACAGGAUUAGAUACCCUGGUAGUCCACACGGUAAACGAUGGAUACUCGCUGUUUGCGAUAUACAGCAAGCGGCCAAGCGAAAGCGUUAAGUAUUCCACCUGGGGAGUACGCCGGCAACGGUGAAACUCAAAGGAAUUGACGGGGGCCCGCACAAGCGGAGGAACAUGUGGUUUAAUUCGAUGAUACGCGAGGAACCUUACCCGGGCUUAAAUUGCAGAUGAAUUACGGUGAAAGCCGUAAGCCGCAAGGCAUCUGUGAAGGUGCUGCAUGGUUGUCGUCAGCUCGUGCCGUGAGGUGUCGGCUUAAGUGCCGUAACGAGCGCAACCCUUGUUGUCAGUUACUAACAGGUCAUGCUGAGGACUCUGACAAGACUGCCAUCGUAAGAUGUGAGGAAGGUGGGGAUGACGUCAAAUCAGCACGGCCCUUACGUCCGGGGCUACACACGUGUUACAAUGGGGGGUACAGAGGGCCGCUACCACGCGAGUGGAUGCCAAUCCCAAAAACCUCUCUCAGUUCGGACUGGAGUCUGCAACCCGACUCCACGAAGCUGGAUUCGCUAGUAAUCGCGCAUCAGCCACGGCGCGGUGAAUACGUUCCCGGGCCUUGUACACACCGCCCGUCAAGCCAUGGGAGCCGGGGGUACCUGAAGUGCGUAACCGCGAGGAGCGCCCUAGGGUAAAACUGGUGACUGGGGCUAAGUCGUAA